CAAACAAAGAGUGCCAUAGGAUUAGUGACUACGGGUAAGCAAAUAAUAAAAAAAAACCAAUAAAUUGAAAACGUAAUUAUACCUUUGGCUGAGCUAUUCCAAGACUUUCGAACAAUUCAGGAUGUUUAAUUGGAAGUUCAAUGACCUGCAAAAAUGAACAUAUAUCAUUUAGACAAGUUGAAGAAUGUCCUGAGUAUUAUCACAUAGAGACAAGCCACACUCGACAAAUACAGCUAGCAGAGAAUCUAAAUUCAAGCCAAAUUUGAAACACGGACUGACGUUGACCAGUGAAUCUUCUUCCUCAAGAAGGAUACAAUCUUAUCACCUACUAGAAGAGCUCUUAGUUAUCUAAGUAAUGUAACAUCUAUAAGAAGAUAAGUAACAGUUGGAAUAUGAAAACAACUUAAUCCUUCUAAUAACAUAUAAACCAAAAUGCAGUUCAAAGAAAAGAAAAUAAGUCAAAGUUGAACUCUGGAAGAGAGAUGCUGUCAAGAUAUUGAUGCAUAUGGGAUUGUGGAUUAAAUGAAAAGAGGGGGGAGAAGAAUAAGAAAGAUAAAGGCAAAACUGAAAAGGGUAUGCCUGCAAGUUAUGUUUAAUCUGAUCUUUUAUAUUCAUCCAGACAAUUUUUGUAAGAAUGAAGACAUGACAAGUAAUUAGAUAUAUGAGUUUAGCUUAUACCAUGAGACCUAUACAGGUAGAUAACCGGAAAUGAAAGCCAGGUGGCAUAACAGUACAAAAGUAAUACAACAAAAACGCAAACUAAAAUAGACACAAGUAUCGUGCAAAGAAUCUAAAUUCAAGAGUAAGAAUGUGCAGAAGAAAACCUCUUUGAUUUCUUUAAUCUGCUGAUCCAGACCACCAAUCAUAUCAUAUGUAGAAUCUGGAACCUUCUCCACUUUCAUCAGAUUGACAAGAGGAUCAACUUUGCUUGGCAGUACUAAAUGAAGAACAUAGCUGUCAUUGCGGAGAGCCACACGUGUAGAUGGUGUGAUCUUUGUAAUAUCAAUGUUCUUAUCGAUAUCAACCACAUAUUUCCCUUCCGGAUGAACCUGAAAACAAAGCAGGUCAAAAAUUUGUCAGAUGUUGUUAUCGACUUGCAGACAGAAUGUUAACUAUUUCACUGUUUGUUAAAACACACAGCCACUUACCUUAACCAAAACCUUGUUCUUUCCCAUGACGUUGACAACCUCACCGACAUAGGACCCAGGCUCCUGAAGAAGCUGCAGUUCUUCCCUGAGCAUUCUCACUGUUCAAAACACAUAAACAAUCAAUCCAAUAACUCAGUUAAGUAACACACUAACAUACCAAAUUAAGCAAAAUCUAUAUAACCAAAGAUCCCAAAAGGUACAACAUCUUCUAGAAUAAUUCUAGUGCACUUGUUUACUCAUCUUGUUCACCAAGAUUUACACUUUACCCCGAAAUCAAAUAUUUGCCCUAAUUUUAUCCCAACAGAAAGCAGAAGCCAGCACCUUUUCACAUUCAAUCAACAAUUGCUAAGAACCCCAUCAAACUAUAUCAGCUAGCCCUAAACCCAAACCAAACUAAACCUAAAAUUACCCUAAAUUGAGAACCCAGUACCAAUCGGAACAAACCCUAACCAGUCCAAUUGAAAUUCCUAUAACCAAUAACCAGUUACUAGGGUUAGGGAUUCGAAAAAUUGAAUUCCCAAUUGGAAUUAGAGCCUCACCUCUGGAAUUGAGCUCGUUACGCUGAGCCUCGAGUCGAUUGAGAUUGUGGGUCUUCUGGCGGACCUGGAGCUGGAGCUCGUGAAUGUGUUGGAGGUAGUACGGCCGGAGCCCAUCGCCGAGUUUGGAGGCGGCGAGCUUGGACGAGCAGGUCUCCUCCGGCACGGCAUCGAUGGGCUUGGUCUCGGCGGCGACUGCAGCCAUCGUGAUCAAGCAAAGCCCUAAACUUUGGAAUCGGAAUUUGUGAGAUUGGCGAUUUGGGGGUGUGAGGAGUUUGAGAGAAGAGAGAUGUCGUGUGUGUCGUUUUGAGUUGGAAAACAAAGGUGAGGGGAGGUGUGUUUUAUUUAUGGGGGAGGGUUUCUUUUUGGUUAAGUUAGCUUUGUAAGGGUAGGAGAUGGAUUAGAGGAUAAUGGGCACAUAUUAGGAAUUACUGCAAAUUUUAGGAUUUCUGUUCUUUUGUUUAAAUUGAAUUGCUAUUUUCUUAAGGAAGUUGCAAACAUGGAAUCCUUGUUGUGAGAUUAGUUAUUGGGGGGACAAUAAAAAUGAUAAUAUUUCAAAGGAAAAUACUUGUGUCCGGACUAGUAUAUACGUGCGUGUCCGGACUCUCUGUUAUUUACACACUUUUGGUAAUGUAAAUCAUAAUCUUAAGUGUUCAAAAAUUUGAUUAACUAAUAAAUAUCAUCUCUGUAAAAUAUCAGUGUAAAAAAAAUCGUUUGCUUAGCCGAAUGAAUCAAAUAAAUUGACGGCUAAUCAUGAGGCUGUUAACUUUCACCAUAAGUAUUCAUUUGUUUAAUACAAUCGGGUGAGCAAACGAAUUUUGUUUACAUUAAUUUUUCACAGAGAUAAUCUUUAUUGGUUAAUCCAACUUUCGAACUGUUAAAAUUAUGAUUUACAUUGUCGAAAGUAUGUAAAUAACAGAGAAUCCGGAUGUACACGUACAUACUAGUCCACAAGUAUUUUUCUAUUUCAAAUUAGUGACACUCAAGAGACGAGGGAGAUUACUAGUUGACGAGGUUUAAGGUGAUAGUUUCAUGUGUCUCAUCUUAGAUUUCGACUAAGUUUCAUUAUUAUUCUCAAUGUUCACAGCUUUUAAAUUGCAUAUAGCUUUAAUAUGUGAAUCAUACACAUUUUCUAGUGUGUCGAUUGGUGAACAACACUCUUACAGAUUUCAUUAAAGAAUCGUUGCUCAUUUCAUUAUAGAAUAACAUGUAUCACUUCUCUUUGAAUCAUUUCGACUGUCGGCAUAAGUUUCAUUCUUUUUACAUGCUUCACAAUAAUAGUAUGAACAAGUAGACAAUUUAAGAGACCUGAACUGAAGGAGUUUGGGCUGCAUUGGACUACCUAAGAAAGCCCAUUGUUCAAUAGAAGGAAGGCCCAAGAGUGGAGCCUAUAUAAUUGAGAGCAUUGCCAAACAUGGUCUUUGCGCCUAGCCCUCUGUGUGAGUCUGUUCCUCUUUUUAACAUUUUUCUUUUAGAUUUCCAAAUUAGGUUUUCUCCUCUCUCUCUGUAAUUUCUCCUCACUAUUAGAUUUUGAUUCCACCAUUGUUGUUUUGAGGGUUAGGAGGUGUGGAUUUGUGUUUCAAACUCCUUAUUGAUAUUUCGUCUUCCCACCUGUUUCCAAAUACCGCCAAAUUUUUCUAUCUCCGCAUAAAAAAAUCCCCAAAUUGAGAAGAACAAAAGCUUUGAUUUUUAGGGCAAUCUAACACAAUUAGGGUUAGGGUUUCAAUCUCAUAAGUACAGAUCACGAAAAAGAAAGCAUCUUUUUUUAGUUUUUGUUUUUGGGCUUUCGAUUAGAUAUGGAGAAGAAGAAGGUGGCUGUGCCUCUGGUUUGCCACGGCCAUUCCCGGCCGGUGGUGGAUCUGUUUUACAGUCCGGUCACUCCCGAUGGCUUCUUCCUCAUCAGUGCCAGCAAGGGUAUGUGUUCCGAUAUCGAAAGAUUCGAUCUUUUUUCGUGUGUUUGGAUUGAAUUACAUGCUUUGGGUGGUUCUAUUUUACUCUGUACAAUGCUGCGUAUAUGUAUAUGUGUAUGAUUGGGGUUUUGUUUCGUGAUAACUUAUGUAGAUUGGUUUGAAAUCGUAAUGGAGGGAUGUUUUGACUAGUCUUUGUGAUAGUAAGUUAUGGUAGAUUAAGUAAACUUGCAAUGGGAUAUGUUCUUAGGAUAUAUAGUCCAGCUGAAAGGAAAUGUUUUGGAUCAGUGGUUUCAUGUCACGUUUAGAAACCUUAGAGCUACUAGAAGUUGAACAUUUAUUGCACUAUCAGUGUACUCAACAGUAGUGAUUUUGGGAUAUUGACGAAUAAGGUGUAUUGAGUAUAUGAGGUGUUAAGAUCAUUGUUGUGUUGUUGCUCUUUAAUGGGUUGCGAUUGGAAAUCUUCUUUAAUCUGUGUAAGUUAUUUAGAUAGCGAACUGAUAUAGAAGUUUUUGAUGCUUGUGUUGUUAGAUUCUAGUCCCAUGCUGAGAAAUGGUGAGACUGGAGAUUGGAUUGGAACCUUCGAAGGACAUAAGGGUGCAGUCUGGAGCUGCUGUUUGGAUACUAAUGCCCUAAGGGCUGCCACCGCUUCCGCAGAUUUCUCUGCGUAUGGAUUUAUCUUUUGAUUUCCCAGAUUUCUCUGCGAGUUGAAAAUGAAAACCUUAAUUCUGUUUCUUAAGUAUGUUAUUUUUGCAUGCAGUAAAGUUUGGGAUGCGUUAACAGGAGAUGUUCUACACUCUUUUGAACAUAAGCACAUUGUUCGAGCAUGUGCGUUUUCAGAGGUAAGCUCCUGUUCUUGACCUAACAGCUCUGUAGAAGUGAAAUAAACUUACAGAGUAAUCAUACAAACUGUGCUCUUUCCAUUUUCUGUAGUGUUAUCUGCUUGAAAUGUCAUGCUAAAUGUGAUAAUGUUGAAUAUUAUGUGUAAUCGACUGUGUUAAAUUCAUUUGGAGUAGCUAUCUGCCUACCUCUAAUUUGAAAAUGAUUUCCUAGUGGUUUAUGUGCUAUAUUAAGAGGGAUUCUAAUAUAGUGGUAGACUUUGAAUAUUUCUUUGGGGCUUAGUUGUUUGUUACACAUCAGCCACUAAAGUUCAUGAUAAUAUUUUGAAUCCAUCAUAGUUGGUGCAGGUUUUAAUUUCAACAGUAUAUGAGAUUUUAUGCUGGAGUUCUCCUAUAUGCCAUGCCUUUUCUUAUUUUCUUGUAUCAUAAUUCUAUUCUCUUGAUUUGGUAAUAGGAUACACACCUUUUGUUAACUGGAGGAGUAGAGAAAGUUAUCCGUAUAUACGACUUGAACAGACCAGAUGCCCCUCCAAGAGAAGUGGACAAAUCCCCUGGUUCAGUUAGAACUGCUGCAUGGCUCCACAGUGAUCAGACCAUAUUAAGUUCUUGCACUGAUAUGGGCGGUGUCAGGUAUACAUUUAUAUGAAAAUAAUUGAUGUUAUGAGGACUCAAUUGUUCUAUAUUAAGUUGCACAUAUUUCGUACUAUAAAGUGACGGGUAGUGAUUGACUGAUUGGUGAAUGUGCAGAUUGUGGGAUGUAAGAACUGGGAAAAUAGUUCAAACACUUGAUACCAAGUCAUCUGUAACAAGCUCUGAAGUCAGUCAAGAUGGUCGAUACAUCACCACUGCUGAUGGGUCUACAGUCAAGUUCUGGGAUGCAAAUUAGUAAGUUAUGAGUUAGAAUGUUCAGUAUUUUUCAGAGUUUCUGCUCAGUUAGCUUAUGCCUUUUACUUGCUUUCAGCUUUGGGUUGGUGAAGAGCUACAACAUGCCUUGCACAGUAGAAUCAGUGUCCCUGGAACCCAAGUUUGGGAAUAAGUUCAUUGCUGGUGGAGAAGACAUGUGGGUUCAUGUUUUCGAUUUCCAUACUGGUGAUGAGAUCGGUAAGUAAACUAUAACAAAAUACUUUUCUUAUUGAAUCUUCUUUGGGGUGGAUGUUGUGUGUUAAUGUCCUUGGAUUUUAUGCUGUAUUUCCAAUGCUGAAUCUUUACUCAAGCUAUUGUAUCUUGAUGCAGCCUGCAACAAGGGUCACCACGGUCCAGUGCACUGCGUUCGAUUUUCUCCAGGAGGAGAGUCCUACGCCUCUGGGUCCGAAGACGGCACCAUCCGAAUAUGGCAGACAGGCCCUUUGACUAAUGAAGAAAGUGAGGCGCAGGCAGCAAAUGGAGCUAUCGGAAAGGUGAAGCCACCCGUGGAAGAGGUCUCUCGAAAGAUUGAGGGCUUCCAAAUCUCCGACGAGGGCAAGUCCAAAGAGAAGGAAGAGGCACCGUCAGCAGCCACAGCAUCGGUGAAUGUGUGACUUUGUUCAGAGUGUCUGUCCAGAGAGUGUAUUAGCCGUUGCCCGGCACAAGUUCAGAUCUAUUCCUGGUUAAAGUACUACUUGGGUUACAUAGACAGAUGGAAACAAAUUUUUUGUACAACUUUCACUUCUGCAUUGUCGAGAUAUAUAGACUAUGUUCUUGUUACUGCUUGUUCAGACUACCUUAUAAAUGGAACUUUUCAGCUUCUUCUGGUUUAUAUUUCCUUCUAAGAAUAUGGAUCAUAACAUAUCAACAUAGCCUAAAAAUCAAUCCUUAAUUCCUAACUAGCUGACAAAGGAAGAGCAGAAUGCCAUGCUUGAAAUUAGGAUUGUAGUCUCAUUUGUGACAAUCCUAUGUGUUCAUAAUUUAAAGUUGGGCAAAUGUCAAUUUAGUACUAAUUUUAAUCAUUCAUUGUCAAAGUUGGGCAAAUGUCAAUUUAGUACUAUUCCAACGACAAUAUGUUUUAUGAGCCUAUUUGAAACCUUUUUAUGCUUAAAUAGUCAAAUUUUUAUUAAAGUCUAUUAGACUAUUUUAACAAAUUAUAUUAUUUUGAGACUAUAUUACUUCCACCGCUUAAACAUGCAUUGAGAGAAAAGACUUCACCGGAACCUCAGACUUUGGCAACUGGCCACCAGACUCCUGUCAUCGGAAUUUCUCCGGUCACCGGUAACUUGGUUACUAACCCCAGUAACUUGAUUACUGAUCCCCAAUAACUCAUAUAUUUCCCAGUCGCCGGAUUUCGGUCAUCGUAACUCGGUUACUGACCCCUAAUAAUUAGUUAGUGACGGCCUUGAACUAUUACAAUGUCACAAGUGGUUUUUUAGUAUCUUCUAAUACCUCAAUUACCAAUUAUCUUAAAAAUAAAAUCGUUUACAUCCCACCAAACUGGGAAACAUGGAAGAAGAAAUUUAUGUCCAUAGCCACUAGCUUUGUGAUAUCACACACUACAAUCACGUAUAUAUACCCACAAAAUGAGCUUCGCAUUGGGAUAUUGUCACCUACAUGUUGUGACUUGUGACUUGUGUGGAACUGUUUCGGCAUGACCACUUCCCUCUUUCAUACCCUGCCUUCUACUUUGGAUACCAUCAUAAGGCGAAACCAAAAAUUUUAAUCGAAGGGAGCUAAUGUUAGCUUGUGCUGUCAAGUUCAUCAUUUCAUAUAAAGCUUAAUUUUCUACAACCAUGACUUCGAUGACUCUAACUCUAUGAAUGUGUAGCUGUUUUAAUUUUUAUAUAUUUGUAUUUUGAAGAGAUAAUUAGCUGUUUUUGAAAGCUAUACUAUGGAGAUUGUGAGGUCGCUGCAACCAAUUUUCUGGGCAAAAGGUUCUUAAACUGCCUUUCCGCUUCAAGUCAUUUAGGCCAUUUGCUGAGGUGCACUUAUUCUAAACUAAUACUAUAUUAAUCAUUGGAGCUCAGUUUAAAUUCAUUAGAAUGUAUAUGGCUCUCUUUGUAAACCAAACAUUCACAAGUAACAAUUUUACGAUCAACAUUGUCAUGUGGUGGUUCAGGUCAAUAACAACACUGACAUGAGACUCGUACUAGAAGAUGGAUGGAUCGGCUUCAUUCUCAAUUUUCAUGCCAUAUACAUGCAAAUGCAUUUUAAGGUUGUUAGCCAUAGCUAGUACUGCACUACAAUAAUUGAUAUAGCUACCUGAUAACAGCAAAGCCACUGUGGAAUACAUCGUGUUUCCAAUUGGGUCAGAUUAUCAGUCACUACUGAACACGUUUAAUUUGCAUCUUUCGCCCAUUUCCUCACCAAUUCAGGAGACUUGACUUGUUUACAUCGUUUUGAGAAAUUAAAAUGUUUCUCACGCUCGCACAUAAAACAAGAUUCAUGUCAUAUCGAUUUACUGUAGGAGAUGAAUAUCAAAUAGUCGAUGGAUUCAUUGAACUAUUUGACGACUCGAUUUUCAUGACACAUAUAUGCAUGUGGCGGUCGCUAGUACUUGUACCUUUCUUGGUCUGGCUUAUUGAGCUCUUGUAGACAUUUUACUAUAAAUACCAAAGAAACGGAAGCAUUUCAACUCAUACUACUACCCAGCCACUUAAUCAAACCUCUCAUAUAAUUUAGCCACAUUGAACUAUGUCUCUCACCUCCGUCAUUUUAGCUUCCCAAUCCCCUCAAACCCUGAAUAAUGCCGAUACUCGACGUUCGGCUAAAUACCAUCCCAGUAUUUGGGGAGAUCGGUUUCUGUCUUAUAACAACACUAUGGUUUGUACAUCCUCGACAUUUAGCAUACAUCUGUUACAUUUUGUUAUCUGCAUGUCUGAGCCUUAUCGAUGUAUGUAUUAAUUUGUUUCUUUAACUGGCUUGUAUGUAGGAAACUAACAUGCAAGGUAAGCAACAAGUAAUCCAACAACUGAAGGAAGAAGUGAAGAGGAUGCUGAUGGCUCCGCCGGUUGAAACUGGUUUGGGAAAACUGGAGUUGAUUGAUGACAUUCAACGCUUAGGCGUGUCUUACCACUUCGAAUACGAGAUUGACCAAACUAUGCAGCAAAUUCACGAAAACCUUAAUGGCACCUAUGAUGAUGAUGACUUGCACACUUGUGCUCUUCGUUUUCGCUUGCUAAGGCAGCAUGGUUAUAAUGUUUCUUGUGGUAAUUGAGAUCUCGACAAUCCUAUUCAUUCAUUUUAUUUUGUUUUAAAUAAGGCUAAUUUUGAUGCAUUGGCAUAUGAAUAAUUAAGCAGAUAUGUUCAACAAGUUCAAAGAUUGUGAUGGGAAAUUCGACGAAUCGCUUCACCACGAUGUAGCAGGACUCCAAAGCUUGUACGAAGCCACACAUCUUAGGGUGCGAGGAGAGGAUUUUCUAGAAGAAGCACUAGCCUUCACAACCACACAUCUACAGUCGGCAGCAAAUCGUUUGAGCCCCCCGCUUUCGAAACAAGUAAGGCAUGCCUUGAAUCAGCCACUUCGGAAGGGCUUACCGAGGCUAGAAGCGAGGCACUACAUGUCUCUUCACCAGGAACUGCAUGGAUCACGUAACCAUGUUUUGCUGAGAUUUGCAAAGCUGGAUUUCAACCUGCUCCAACAAGUGCAUCAGAAAGAACUAAGUGAUAUUGCAAGGUUGAUACUAUCUGUUACCACACACAUUAGAUAGGCACCAGACAUGAAAAUUAACGUUACAUUUUUUCUCCAAUUAAUUAGAUAAAUAUGUGUGAUCAUCACUAAUUAUGUGAUUCAUCAGGUGGUGGAAGAAGUUGGACUUUGCUAGCAAGCUUCCUUUUGCAAGAGACAGAGUGAUUGAGUGCUACUUCUGGAUUUUGGGUGUCUACUUUGAACCCAAGUAUUACUUUGCUAGGAGAACCCUUACCAAAGUUAUUGCCAUGACAUCCAUUAUUGAUGACAUUUACGAUGUGUAUGGCACUCUUGAAGAACUAGAUCUCUUUACUAGAGCAAUUGAGAGGUUUGAAAUUGAUAUAUAUUUUUCUUCCCUUAUAUUAUAUUCUCAAUUUAUUCCGGACUUAAGCUUCACCACUUACCAUCGCCGUUCGUCUUCUUAUUUGCAGAUGGGACAUCUCAGCCAUGGAUGUACUGCCGGAGUAUAUGAAAUUCUGUUACGAGGCACUCUUAGAUGUUUAUGCUGAAGCAGAACAGGGGCUUGCAAGCGAGGGAAAAUCAUACCGUAUCGAUUAUGCAAAAGAAGCGGUAAUUAGUUAAUUAAGCCUCAAUUUUGCGUUUAGUAUUGUGAUUCCAAAGGUCGUUGAAGGUUAAGUAACAGUUGAUUUGCUGCAUAUAUGUCAUAGAUGAAGAGACAAGUUAGGGCAUACCAUGCUGAAGCCAAAUGGUUCCACAACAACUACACACCAACAAUGGACGAAUACAUGGAAGUAGCCCUCGUCACUUCAGCCUACUCAAUGCUAGCAACCACAUCCUUUGUUGGAAUGGGAGAUAUUGUUACUAAAGACUCUUUCGAGUGGAUCUUCAGUGACCCUAAGAUGGUAAAGGCUUCAGCAGUAGUUUGCAGACUCAUGGAUGACAUUGUAUCCCACAAGGUACUUGAAUUUGCUGCAGUAGAAAUUAUAUAUCUUAAAACACUUCCUUAGCUAAUUCUGACCUUAAUGUUCUUGGCAUGGCUAUACAGUUUGAGCAAAAGAGAGGACAUGUUGCUUCGGCCGUGGAAUGCUACAUGAUACAAUACGGUGCGACAGAAGAAGAAACCAUAAUCGAAUUUCGAAAACAAGUGAGUGAUGCAUGGAAGGACAUAAAUGAAGAGUGCCUCCACCCUACCUCUGUCAACAUGCCUCUCUUGAUGCGAGUUCUGAAUCUCACACGCGUGAUAGAUGUACUGUACAAGUCUGAAGAUGGCUACACUCAUGCUGGAACCAUACUCAAAGAUUUUGUAGCAUCUCUACUGGUAGAUCCUGUGACUGUAUAAGUGAAAACUGGGAACCUUUGUUUUAGUUCUUACAAGAUGUUUGAACUUAGUAUUGGAGUUGCAGGAGUGUAAUGUCAAAAGCAAUCCUUGUAAUCCCAACCUUUGUACGUUGGGAUCUAAUAUGUGGGUCUUAUUUUUUCAGUUGCAACUUUGAUAGUUCAUCUAAUAACGGAAAAGAAAUUCAAAGUCAUUUUGAUAAAGUAGUCUGGGGUUCACAUCCAAAACCAAUUGGCCAUGGGUGGAGUGGCCUAAACCCUUAUAAAUUCACAGGCAAGGUCCCAUAUUCCCGAUGUGGGAUUCAUAUCUCAACACAUUUUCUUUGAAUACGAACCUUUGACUUUGACAGAACAAUACGAACUCGAGCUUGUCCACGCUGAAAUCCUCCGUUGUCCACCUGCAAAACUCAAGUUAUUUUUCAUGUGUGGACUUAUUGUUGUCAGCAUGUACUUUUUCUGAGUUGGUCUUGAUUAAGUUCAUUUGGAAAUGGAAAAAUAGAAUAAGAGAUUCCGUGUAAGCAUAAGAGCUUAUGGACCACCAAAGCAUACUAGGAUAUGUAGUAAUUGGUUUUGAAUAAGAACUUAACAAGUGAGAAUAGAUAUGGAUAUGGAUCUUAGUAAAUAAACUAGACAAUAGAUCCAGCCGCGCCCUGCUGUGAUUCAAUAAUUCGAUUACUUCGGUCACUGGUUCAUAAAGAGUUCAUUCGAAAUUGUGUUUACUUUUGUUUACCUUUCCUAUACAAAUUUCAUCUACUGAUAUCCGUAGGAAAAACAGACUUGUUAGAAUCUAAAAUUAAGAUUCUCAAAAUGACUGGAGAGACUGUACCACAUGUCAAUGAAAUAAACAACUCAAAUCUCAUCAAAACCAUUUAAAUCAAGGCCAUGUUAGUCUCUUAAAAAAGAAUUUGAUCACUUGUCUUGCUAUUUGUUUAUAUGUUGAAGCAAAAUUUACGAUUAAGUUACGAAUGCUUAUCUAAGACCCUAAAACAUGGUUACUGCCAACACAAACUAACAUAUUCAAAAGAGCAUAUCAAAUGGUAGCUGCACAUUAGAAUUUGAGGGCUGAUCUACUUGUAAAUUUCAGUUCACUAAGUAUUCAAAUCCCUAGUAUUUUGGAAAAAUGCAUCUGAAAAGCCAAGAAUAAAAACCUAUCAAAAAACUUGAUAGAAGGAGAGGGCAAUGACCUCAAAAUAAGGGUAGAAUCCCACUCUCACCAUUGACUGAACUCUUGGGAUAGUAGAUUCUCACUGAGCUUUCUACUUUGUGACUGCUACUCCAUAUUCAACCUCCAUUCUGCAAAUUCAUGAGCGACUUUCAUAUGUUCUUGCUGCAGAGAAUAAUUGAGUUUAUAGUUAAAAUCAGAGUGACCAAGAAGUCGAUAAGGACAACAUAAUAAUUUUCUAAUGAAAAAAGGAUGUUUACCUUAGCAUUUUACUCUCAGAGGGAUCCUUUUCCUCCAUAAUUUGGAGAAGACCUUGCCACCAAACCAGCUCAGUUGCCAUUAGCUACAGUAACAGAAUCACAUUCCAAUGCUCCCAAUUCUAAGCAGAUGUUAAUGGAUAAAAGCAGUCGUCCACCAGCACUGACAAACAUGCAUACAAAUAGAAUAAGGGCAAGAAAAAAAAAGUCAAACAGCGAAUUCCAGCCAUCACAUUCUUAAACUCCCUUUUAACAAAAUGACCACCUUUUCCCCUCAAUCAAUACCUAAGACCAAAAUCAUGUAAUUUUCUACGGUAUGUGAUACCACCACAAAACAUAAAUCUAAAUACCUUGAUGUCAAUAUAAGCUACUGUUCAAUAAAUGAGGCUGCAGCUGCCAACCGAAAUAGAACCAACCACACAGCAAGUAGCAUACCAACAAAUACUACAAUCACAGGCACACAAAUUAAAAAUUCAUAAAACAUAAAUAUCCUUUAGGUAACCAAACAUGAAAUACAAAUGUCACAAAACAGAGAUUUAGGAUCAUUGCCAGAAACAAAAAUCAUGUAAAAAACAAUCACAGAACACAACUUGCAGACAGAAUACCAACACAUACAACAGAUGGAUCGCAUCUUUUAGGAUCCUCAACAUGUAUAACCCAAUUUAUCAUUACCCAGAAACAAAAAGCGUCACUGCACCGUACCACCACAACAGUUAAUAGCUACAAAAACCUUUAGGUUCUAAUAAGCCAAUUUUGUUCUCAAUAGACAAUUAGAACAUGACGUCGCUAUGCUUCCAUAGUUCCAAAUGCAUAAAGUAUGCCAGGAGAACAUCCCAACUUGAAUUUUGUGGCCACAAAAUUUAGCGAAGAGAAAAAACUGCUAGCUUUCUAUAUACACACACACAACAUCAGGUUAUGCAUAUAAUCGCUUGCCAAUCAAAAAUUGUAGAAGAAAUUUUGCUAAAAUUGUAAGGAGGUGUGUAUGCCUUAGUAUAAUAAGGAACCCGACACACUUGACCAUAAAGCAUAAGCUCACAUCAGAUUCCAGAAACGCAAACAAUCCAUUGACAGAACAAUUGUUAUAUAAAUGUACAAAGAUAUCACCCACUGCUGAAAAGAUAACAACUGAACUUUGGUAUUAUAUUCAAUAUUUGAAUGUACUGGCAACUUCACAUGCAUCCCAUCUCUUUUCAUUUCAUUGUUAACCUUUAAUUUCCUACAAACCAUGAAACCAUAACGAAAGCAUGGAUGGUAGCAAAAUAACUUAUUGAUGAGCACCGAAGAUCAGAUGCUCACCACGAUUUAUCUAGCUUAUCGAAGAAGUACAAACCUUCCAGAUCAGUAAUACACACAUAGAAGAAUAACUCCACAAAAUUUCAAGUCAAAACGGAUUCUUACAUCCUAAUCAAACUCGAGUUCAAAACAGCAACACUGCAUAACAUAGACACAAUUUCAGCAUAGAGCACUCAACUUCAGAAAAUCACUACAAAGCGCCUACCCUAUCAAAUAGUAUCAAACUUUCUAGAUCAAGAGUUCACAUAUGGAAGAAAAAGAGUACAAAGUUUCAGAGCAAAUGGAGUCCUAAAUCUUGAUCAAAAUCAGACUCAAAAACAGCUGCACACAUAACACGAAUACAAUUUCAAACAUGUGAACAAAGUACAAUGAAGAAAGAUGUAUACACUGUUCCUUGUCCAACCCAUUUUGCCCCGCAGCAUAAUAGGAAAGCCAUGUGCAGUACUUUUUAGUUUGGAUAAGUUUAUGCCACACAUCAUAAUCCUUUUAUUUUAAGGAUCCUCUUCAUCGAUGUAGAAUCAUGUAUCAAUUCAAUCCAAUUCGAUCAAUUCAAUCUUAUUAGUGUUUAACAUGCAUCCACAUCCACAUCAAAGCCAAAAAUUGAAACCUUGAAAUGAAUAAUGAACCCCUCCUCUUCAUUGAUGUAGAAUCGUUGAGCUUCUGAAGCUCAUAACCUGCAAAAUCACCUUGUUCUUGUUGCCAAACCCAAAUUAAUUUUCAUCAGUCCCUCUCUAUCAGUAAGACACCGUAGUGGAAAGAAAAACAGUCGCACAGUGCGACGAAAAAUAGUAUGUUAAAUCCUCAUUGGACUAAUUGGAUAUGGUCAACUUAACCUUUUGGAUCAGAAUACAAAUAGAACACAAAAACCAUGGGUCGGUGGUAUUGUAAAUUGAAAGAAAAUAGAGGGGUAUAUAAGUCAAAGUGGGGGUGAAUAAGUACCCAAUGUAUCUAACCAUCCAUCCAUCCAAACCAUUAUUUUUUCUCUCUCUAAAAAUAUCUGGUUUUCUCUCUCUAGAGAGGUCUCUGUAAAUCGUCUGAAUCAAAAAGAUCAAAUCUUUGGGUUUAGUUUUUUUUUUUUUUUUCGCGGGAAGAGAUGUCAGGUAAAGGCGCCAAGGGUUUGAUUCAUGGCAAAGGAGCCAGCAACAGCAAAGAUAAGGACAAGAAGAAACCCACCUCCCGAUCCUCACGAGCUGGCCUUCAGGUGAUUACCUUUGCUUCUUUGUUCUUGUUUUUUCUUGAUUUUGGGAUUUUAGGGUUUCGAAUUUGAUUGUUGAGGUUGAGUUUGGGGGGUUUAAUUUGGUAAAGAUUGGAACUUUUUUUGGUUUUGGUAUUGGGUUUUGGUUUGUUUUGGUGAUGAGAAAGCGAAUUAGAAUACCCACAUGGGUUUGGGAACUUAAAAGAUUUAGUUUUUACGGAUGAAUAAUAGUUGUUGAAUUGAGAGUUGAUUUGGAUCGUUUUGGAAGGGCAUGAUUUUGUGUUUUUUCCUUAAACCAUGUUUGUUAGGAGAACCAUAAUCCGAUUGAAGAGUUUGAACUUGAUAGAGAUUUGAUAGAUAGAUACAUUGGAGGGGUGAAUUUUGAAGUUUGAAGUGUCUCGCUCCUCUGGAACAUGCUCUAUUCUAGAUUGUUGUUUACAUUAUGAAUUUUCAGGGUAUAACUGUUUCGAUAAGAUUGUGGAUGUCUAGAAGACUAGAAUAGACUAUGCUUGCUCUAUGUGUCUUGGUAAACAUGAUUGAGUCUUCCUACUCAUAGUAAACAGUUUAAAGUUUCUAAAAGUCCUACCUGAAUCUGUUAGAGAAGUACCAGCUAUACAAUAGAAAUAAUUUCGGUAUAUGAUGUUGAUUACAUAAGUUGUUGGAAUGAUGAUAAACCUACUUAUUUAUAUGAUGUUAGAGACGGAGGAUCCUAAUUAGAUACCUGCAAUCUCCCAAUUAUUAACUUUCAUGAAUAGACUCUCUAGUGGUGAGGGAACGAAGGGUUUGAAUGUAAGAAAGUAGAAACUUCUUAAGACUUUCAUUUAAAAACAUAGCUUCAGCCGUAUGUUAUGAACUUCCAAAGUGUUUCUCUGUCUCACUUUUUGUCCAUUAUUUUCAAGUCAGUUUAUGGACUAUACUAGAGUUGUUGAAUUUCUGCCAUCUACUAAUUCUGUGGUGACAAAUUUCUAGUUCCCGGUGGGUCGUAUCCACCGUCUCCUGAAGCAAAGGACCACAGCUAAUGGGAGAGUGGGAGCGACUGCUGCAGUUUAUUCUGCAGCUAUCUUGGAGUAUCUAACUGCUGAAGUUUUAGAGUUGGCAGGCAAUGCCAGCAAAGAUCUGAAGGUGAAGCGUAUCACUCCCAGGCAUUUGCAGCUUGCAAUCCGUGGUGACGAAGAACUUGAUACUCUGAUAAAAGGUACCAUUGCUGGUGGAGGUGUCAUCCCUCACAUUCACAAGUCACUUAUCAACAAGUCCACCAAGGAGUAAUGAUGAGGGCCAAAAUUCUAUGAGGAGACUCUCCUUUGUGACUUAGGAUCAUGUGUUUUAGUAAUUCGUUAUUUUGCUAGUUAAUUUUCAUGUCUGAUAGUAUUUGUAAUGGAUAAUGGGAUCAGAAACUCUUCUUUUUUAUUAUUAAUCUAGGCUUACUCUAGGAACCCUGUCAUAAUGUCGUAUUGCAUCCCUGGUAUUAAAGGCGUGUUUGAGCUACAAUUGUUGUUUUUCUACCAUUCUAUUUUACAUGAAUUCAGUUGAUGAUGGCAUAACUGCUCUCAAUCGAAGAUGCGGUUCUUUUUAUGCUGCAAGGUGAAAGGUCUAUCUUCAUGUUAUUGACAUAUGUUUACUCGAGUAGUUUCCAUGAAUCAUCAACAGCAGUCAUUUGUGAAAGAAGAUGGGAACAGGUUUUAGUUCCAACAACCUAUUAAAGAUCUGAAAGGCGCGAAUUCAAUUGAAUACUCAUAAAUCCAUGUCCUUCUCAAUAUUCACUGCACAUUCCUCUUAAUCAAUACAGAUAAACAACCAUUAGCAUUAGUAAAUAAGUGAAAAAUUUCCUGCACUCCAACCUAAAACCACCAAAUAAUCUGCGCUAGAAGCAAUGAAAGUCCUUCCUAGAACCUUAAACAUGGAAAAGAACGAAAACCAAUUCUAAACUUCUCAUUAAGAAAAAAUAUCUAGCAAAAGCCACCAAAAUGGUAGUGGCGUAAGAAUGGGGACGACCAACUUAGAAAUUUAGAAGGUUGUCACUCUUGGAACAUCAACUGGGAACUGAUCAAUUUCAGCCAUCCACGGGCUCUUUUCCUUGGCAGGAUCUAUAGUCUUGAGAGCUUUCCACACAGCACUGUUACACUUGAAUCCCGACCCGAAAGCUAUCUGCCAUGUUCUAUCUCCUUUCUUAAUCCUUCCCUUUGCUUCUGUGUAAGCUAACUCAUACCAGAGAGAACUGCUUGAGGUGUUUCCAAAUCGGUAUAGUGUCAUCCUUGAUGGCUCCAUAUGCCAAUCAGACAGAUGCAGGUUCUUCUCCAAUUCAUCCAAGACGGCUCUUCCCCCAGCAUGAAUGCAGAAAUGGUCAAAAGCAAGUCUGAAAUCUGGGAUGUAAGGUUUGAUCUUCAUCUUGAACAGUUUCCUACCCACCAAUGUAGCAAAGAAAAGCAGCUGCUCGGACAUUGGAAGAACAAGAGGCCCCAGUGUGGUGAUAUUGGUCUUCAAAGCAUCACCUGCUACAGCCAUCAGGUCCUUCGAUAGUGUGACACCAAUAUGCCCAGCAUCAUCUUCUUCUUGAGUAACACAGCUAAAGCACUUGUCAUCAGCACCCUUGUGCGUGCGGACAGUAUGGACUAAUUGGUACUUGGACCUCCUUCUGUCUGAGUUUUUGUUUGAAAGAAGUAUAGCAGCCCCUCCCAUCCGGAAUAAGCAAUUUGAAACAAGCUUUGAACGAUCAUUGCCAAAGUACCAGUUCAAUGUAAUGUUCUCCAUGCUGAUAACCAGCGCAUAAGAGUUAGGAUGCACCUGAAGAAGCUUUUGAGCAAGAUCAAUUGAGAUGAGCCCCGCGCUACAUCCCAUUCCACCAAGAUUGUAGCUGACUAUAUUCCCUCGAAGCUGGUAAUGAUUGAUAACCAUGGCAGAAAGAGAUGGAGUUGGAUUGAACAAGCUGCAGUUGACAAUCAAGAUUCCGAUGUCCUUGGGUUUUACAGAUGUCUUGGCAAAUAGCUCGUCAAUGGCACCAUACAUCACUGCCUCAGCUUCUUUCCUGGCUUCUUUCAUUGACGGAUUUGGGGGAAUGUUAAGUACAGCCUCUGGAAGGUAUGUUGAAUCACCAAGGCCGGAUCUCUCAAGGAUCCUUCUCUGGAACUGUAGAUUCUCUUCUGUGAAUGUACCAGUCAUCGUAGACUGAUCCAUGAAAAUCUUUUUCGUGCAUUUUCGAGUUUCUUCUGGCUUGUAACAAGAAAAGUUAACAAGGUACACAGGGCGAGGGCGGGUAAGAAAGUAUACAGUGGAUAGGAACACCAGGAGGGUCGAGCAGAUGAUCACCGAAAUCAGGUUGUAUUGGAGAUGCUCCCAUAGAUCAUAUAGAUCUUGGAGCGAAAAUGUGGAGAGCUGGGCAGCAAUAACAAUGACAAGAGGGGAAAGGAAAAGGUACAUUCCAUGGGUGAUGAGAAUAUGGUAACCAAGCUUCACAUAUUUUAGCUUAAUGGAUUUUUUGAAGUCGGGGAGGUUCCUAUUGUUUGAGGGUCUAGAUGAUGGUGGGAUCAAUGGUGUAUCUGGUUUUGGUUCCGCCAUAUUUCCCUGAUAAACAUACAACACCUCUAAUCAGAUCAAAUGCACAACAAAAUCAUAAACCAAUGUAUUAAUAGAAAAUUAUAAUCACAGAAGAUGAACUACCAGAGACUAAAAAUUAAAUUAGUAAAGGGUGGUUUUCCAGAACAUAAAGGCAAAUUCCAAUAGCUUUUCAAUUGGCAUCCAACCAGAAAUGACUCUUGGAAAGCCAAUGGAGCUUUUCAAAAAAGAAGGUUGUCUAUUAUUUACAGCUACAUAUCACACUGAGAUAAUGAAAAGGCAGAAAGAACACCUAAUGGUCCCAAUCCAAGCACCAAUUCAAAAAUGGUGGAACAGAACAAAAGCUACACACUUUGAUCCUUACAAGUUGGAGCCAAAGUGCUAAACACAAUCCAAACACAACCCCAGAUCAGAUUUUUCCAAUAAAGAACACUUCUUUCCAAACAAAUCAGCAGAUUAACAAACAAUGUUACACAACCCUUAUAAACACUCACACAAAGAACCAAACUUUAUCACAGAAACCAUACAAAUUCACACAUCCAAGAACAGAUCAAACCUCCCAAGAUACAAAACAGAACGUUAUAGAAAAAAGCUGCAAGCUUUGAUAAUGAGGCAAAACCCAGAUCGAAGACUGACCUUGGUUGCCGAAACCCACCACCAGAUCUCACAGGAAUGUCGUCGUCGCCAGCCAAAGACAACCGGAGAGAAACAGGGCAAAAGGGAAUAUGGGAGAGGUUCAAAGUUUGAAGUGAGAUUAUAUUAGAGCUAAAAAUAGGGANNNNNNNNNNNNNNNNNNNNGGCAAAUGCAUUUGCAAUUUUGGGUUUUAGAUAUUUUCUUUCUUCUAUUUUGUGUGUGUUUUCAUUGCUUUUUUCUCAUUUAAGAGGUUGAGAAUAAAGAUGUAGGAAAUCAUUCUAGUGAAGACCCUUAAGUUGAGGAUUUGGUGAGGGCUUUUCGGUUUAUGGUUUAAAAUACCCAAUUUUCGAUCACAUGUUGACAUCUUAUCUGUUCAGUUUUUAGGUUUAUAUGAGUAGAUCAUUUCUACAAAUUUUCACCCAAAUUGGUGUUCAUUAAGAUAACAAACUAGAUCAAAUUAAUGGACGAACCAAAUCUGCCAAAUAUGAACCGUUCAAGUUCAUAAUUGAUAAAUCACACUUAUGAAUGUCUUAACAAUUUUCAAUAUAGCUGAAAAUUUGAAGAAAUGAUAUACUCAUAAAUACCUAUAAACUGAACGGUCAAUAUGUAGAUAUAAGAUCGAAAUGUGGGAUAAACCGAAAAGUCUUUACCAAGUCCUCAACUUAAGGGUCCUCACUAGAAGGGCUCCCUAAAGAUGUAUACCAAAAAGAUAUCAACUUCCAAGUCUGUGUACAUGAAUCAUGUGCCAAUAUUUGUGUGAUAUACAUCUUAUCGGGUUGCAUUAGCUUUCAAGGUCUCUAUGGAUUGUGAAUCGAAAUUUACUCUUAUACAGUUAGUUGUUAGAGUUUAUUGUCUCAUGAAAAUUGUAGCGUUCGAAAAGAUACCAUAAUUUCAUGUCUAGACCCGUUUGGAGAUUUACUACUAUGAAACUCGCAUUCAUCCAAAGUACAGAAAACUAAAAUUUAGAAAGAAAAAAAAAACACCCUCUAGCCUCUGGUUUAUAUGUGGAAAUAAUACCUCCAAUAUUCUUCCCUUUAAUUUUGCUUUUCAAAAUCAAGGUGACAAUACAAAUGGCAUGAUGAUUGGAAAAGAAAAUGUCAAAUUAUUCCCUCUUUGAAUAUGACAAGUGAGAUUGAAGAAGAGUAUAGUGAAAUACAACAAAAUCGAGCCGCCCAUUACAGUUAAGGAGCCGUCAAGAACAAAGCCAGAAGGCUUAUAUUAUAUUUGACUGGUAUACAAUUCAGUGAAUUGGUAAUGUUGUAUAGGGCAGGCAAUUUGAGGAGGGACCAAGCACGAGGUUGAUGACCAGUUGUUCACAUGGAUAUAAAGGUUACAACUCUGUCACUGUCCCUAUUGUCAGCUGCGCUGGCUCCACAUGCUAUGCUGUUCUUCAACUCAAUCCAUGAGCUAUAUCAUCUUCUAAUAACAGAAACAACAAACCAACUUCAACAAUGAAGAAAUUUCCAAGUCUGUCUGUUUAGCAAGAUUUGACAAACUGUUUUAUGAGGAAAUGGUGAGGGUGAGAUGGAAUCUGGGAGAGUUGAAAAGGAAAUGUUGCCAACAAAUUUAUCUUGUGGGGUUAAGUUGGCAUCAACCAUCAAGCAUAAUUCCACCUUUGAUCAAACUUGGUUAAAGAAAAGCAAACUCUAAUACAGGAAAAGAAAUCUUACAGUAGUAACUUGCUGUUGGAGAACAAUGAUAUGAGGGAAAGUUAGUUGAACAAUAGGCAAUGUUGAACAUGCUACUCCAAUGUGAAUUCCUCCAGCCAUAUCAGCACUUCAUUUCUCUAAAAUGCAGUCAGCACCAAAACAACACAAAAGAUCAACCGUUAGAGUGAAGAAAGCAAAAUUCGGUAGGAUUUGGCAAAAAGAGGACUAACAGUACAAAUAAAAGCUUAAUGAUCAAGAUUACUUGCUACUGGUUUUGCUUUGUCUAGAAGGCAGUAGAAGUAACAGCUACCAAGACUACUACAACUAGGGCUAGUAAUCAGGCCAAAGUCGAGUUCAACUUUUCUUGAAAGAGGGUUGCUUGCAGUACUCAUAGACCUUCAAUAUGUGAAAGGGUAGAUAUAUAUCUUGUAACUUAUUAGAUGAAGUUUCAACAGUUGAAAUUUUCUUAGUUGAGGUUUUCUUGAAAACAGGUUUUCUUGCAGUUAUUCCAGAGCUUCAAUGUCAAAGGUAGCUAGAUAUCUUCCAACUUCUUGGAUGAAGUUCCUAUAGUUGGAAUUUUCUUUGGUGAAGAAUUUUCCAUCUUGAAGUUUUCUUUGAUGAAGUUUUCUCCAUAUAUCAUAUAAAAUUAGAGAUAUAUAAGAACACAUUAUCAGACUGGUCACUGAUGUUACAUACCAUUAUAAAGCUCCAAGUUCGGCCAGGGUCAUUGUAACGAGCAAGCAUACACCCGGCCUUAGGUUUGAGACCAUCUCUGAUAAGACUAGCACGCAGCAAAUUCUCCUUUUCACGAACAACAUCUUCGGUAGGCUUCCCACUAAACUUGAUAACAGCAGCAAUGCCUUCUUCCAUUUUUUUCAAGCUAAUUGUUUCUGCAUUAGGAUCUGGUAAACUGGCCACAUCACAUUUUUCUUAUUAAUAUAUAACUCUUCACAAGGACAAAUGUAAGUACGAUAUAUAUCUAACAUCUAUUAAUUCUCCACCUGCUUAAAUCCUUGUCAAGUGGAAGACAUACUUUGAUGGAUACUUUGGAAAAUUCAGCAUCAGAUGCCUCAGUGAACACCGGAGUUGUCAUUGGUAUCUUUUCCAUUUUUGAGUUCUUUCCAAAGAUGUACCUAAGCAAAUCCCAUUUCCAUAUCACAAAAAGAAACAAAAUUUUUUUUUUUUAAAGAAAAUAUAUUUAUAGCACAUGAUUAGCUAAGCUGUAAUGCAAGCACUCACCCAGUAACAUCAUUGAAACCAGCUGAUCCAGACAGCUUGUCUGCACUUCCUUCUACCACUAUAAAAGGGGAGUACUUUCUUACCUGUAGAAUCAAUCCAGGAAUCACCAACAAAACAGUAAAACCAUCCAAUCAAAUAGAGUUACAGAAGAAAACAAAAACCUUCAAAUGUAAUGCAUUUCAUUCAUGAUUCAUCAACUUUAGAGAAUGAAGUCUAAAAGCCCAACUUUUAAUGAAUGCAACAUUAGCCAUUCACUAAGGAGAACACACCUCAUAAUUUGCUGUUCUCUUUAGUAUGUCAUAUUUUGGUGUUUCCAAGUCUGGAGUUUUGUAAAUCCUCAGCUGCAGGGUUUUACAUACAAGAAGAGACUAAGGCAAGAAAGAAUCUUUAUACAUGAUAAUGGAAAGUGUAUAAUGAGUCUGCCAAUACCUGCUUGAAUACAUCUAACAAACCUUCUACAGAAAAAUAGUCAUUCUUCUUAAUGGAAUCCCAGAAGUCCUACAUGUACAUUACAGCAGAUACAUGAACAAUUUUAGAAAUUACGCUGUAUCAUCUACAUUGUACUAUAAAGAGUCAUGAGGUGAAUGAUUGUUACCACAUGGCUGCAGAACUUCCCAGUUUCGGGGUUGAUUCCCAUAACAGAAGUACCAGUGAAGAUCAAUUCUGGUUUCCAAGGCAGAGGGACGAACUUCAUAACCAUAGUCCACCUUGUAGUGAUUUCAUAUGGUCCUGACUAUAUAGCAUCUUAAUCAGUAACUUAAGACAGUCCCACUCCAAUUUCAAGUGGACAUCCACAUGAAUAUGCACAGAUUGAAAACUUUAAACUAAAAGUUUGAGUCUGCACUCAAAUUUUAUUUCCUCAUAUUCAACAUAGUCACAUUAACCUCAUCCAACAUAUAUAUGCAGCUAUGCAUCAUCCAAAAUUCUAAGUUACAUAAUUUCAUUCUAUGAAAAUCAUUGAACUGCACCCAGUUAAAUUCUUAUAUUUAAUUACUCAAUGCCUAAAAUUCCCAAUAUUCUAGUAGUUAAUCUAAUAAGGGAAAGAACACAGGUCCUUUAAACAGUUACCUGUUUUACCCAGUGCAACUGGAACUUGGGAGUGAAGACUGUCUUCAAGAAGGCAAUGUUCAACAAAUAGCCAGUUAUAGAAUCAUGCUUGGUGAUUGGAUCCCUGAACUUCACACGUUCAUCAUACGCCGUCCGAUCAAUUCCUUGAUCAUCAAACAAGUGAACUAAAUCCUGGUACAGAAAAUCGACCACCCUUUCCAUGUCGACGGUUGAUUUUGGCGGGCUUUGGUCUACUAAGCUAAGUCUAACAGCCCACUUUGAGUAGUUUUGCCUUGUUUGAAGCCCCAAGUGUUUGUGUUUCAAGGCUUUGGAACGUGGAUGGCAUGGUAGUUUAUUCGCUUUGGUGGUGCUCAGCCGCCGUAAACUGACGCACACGGCGGGGAUAGGCCUGAAAACUUGGUCGGAAAGCUGUGUGCUAGCCAUUUGGUGGUUGUGGUGGGCGUGUGACUGUGUUGGCUUGGUGCGUGACCAUGCAUUGCUACUAUGAAACAACUUAGCCACAAGUAUUGAUUGGUUGGUGUUCGUUUCUGAAAUUAGUGGCUACAAUUUCUUCAUGUAAACAUAAUUGAAUAGUAGAACUCGUCGUUUGUAAAUACCUUAUGAAAAUGAUAAGGAGAAACACUAGUAUCAUUGUCCUGCAGAUAUGACUUUAAGCUAAAUUCUCCAUUCUAUGGUAGACUAGCACAGUAUUGCAGCACAAUUUCACACUCUCAGUACAAGACUUUACUGAUGAGAAACCCCUCUGUAUAUUUGGCCAUCCAUGAACUUCAAUAUCAUAACUAAUCCAAAACAUAAACACCAAAUAAGUGACCAUUUCCCAUCUCCUAAAUCACACAUUGUGCAGGAGAAAGAUGAAAUGAAGGGCAAGAUUCCUCCUGCCGUAAAUAAGUUGGAUAAGUGAGGGCAUCAAGGACUUUUUCAUUUGCUAAGAAAUUAAAAUGUAGCUGGCUUAGUAUAGAACCCUCUUGUUUCCCAGGGUUCUGACAGGAAUCACAGGAUUAAAUGGCAACAGCCCUCCCUCAGUCUCCCACUCUCAAGACUCCUCUUUCAGGAUGUGUGACGACGAGUGCUAUGAAGGUAAGUCUCUCUUGACCUCUGCAUCCACCUCUAAGCUUGGUUUGUCCAUUUCUAAUGUCAUCACAAAAUGGCUCGAAUCCCUACCCGAAGAAAUCAUACCCAACAUCCUAAUCACACUACCUGUCAAAUCCCUCAUCAGAUUCACCUCUGUCUGUAAAUCUUGGGAGUCCACCAUCAAAAACCCAAAAUUUAUCCACACCCACCUCACCCACACUCUCAAUUCCAAUGACCAAAACGACACCCACCUCAUUCUCUUCCACGAUGUUCAUAGUAAACAUUUCUGUCACUAUCCUAAGUACAAGAAGCCUCUUUCUCUCUGCAUUAUGAUUACACUGCUGCUGUUACUGAGUAUUGCAAGAUUGAGUUUCCAGUAGCUAUCAAGGAAGCAGUCAUGAAUGCUUUUCGUGUUGUGGGUACUUGUAAUGGGCUGGUUUUGCUGGCUGAUGAUUUGGAGGAUUACGGUUACACCUUUGUUGUAUGGAACCCUAGUAUAAGAAGGUAUGUGACCCUUCCCAAGUCCACUAUGAGGUUUUCGAGGCAAGGUACGUAUGUUGGUCCGGUUGGUCUGGGUUAUGAUGCUGUUGGUAAUGACUAUAAGGUUGUGAGACUUACCACCCUUUUUAAGAAAGAGAAUCCUUGUCGGCCUGAUAUUUGGCCCACUUCAGUUGAGGUUUAUUCACUCGCCAAGGGCAUUUGGAGCACGGUCAGUCCUCCUCAAUGUAUUGUUCUUCAUUACUCCGCUGCUCAGGUUUUCGUCAAUGGGGCACUUCACUGGAUGGCUAAGCAUUGCCAUUGGAUAGAUGAGAUGGUACAUAUAGACUCUUUCAUUUUGACAUUUGAUGUGGCUGCUGAGUCAUUUGGAGAGAUAAUGUUGCCCAAGGGCUUCGAAUCAGAGGAGGCACAGUUGUCUACGUUGUCUGAUUCUGGAGAUAGAAAUUCUAUUGCUCUGUUUGUGAGGAAUGAGGUUCCGGGUGCUUUUGGUCUUGAAUAUUGGGUAAUGAAAGAGUACAGUGAGGAGAAAUCAUGGACAAAGUUGAUGGUUUUUGGUCCACAUGAUCGGUGGAUAAAUGUACCCAGGGUAUUGUGUUUUAGGAGGAGUGGUGAAGUGAUGUUGUUACUUAAGGAUGGCCAUACAGUUUCACUUGACAUUGUGAGCGAAGAAUUUAAACAUCUAGGGAUGUAUGGAGGGGACCUUAGCUCUGUUCACUCUUAUGAAGAGAGCCUUGUCUUGCUUGAAAGGAAAGAUGUUGUUUCUUACUGAGGCAAUGAACCAAGUAAGGUGAUUAUUUCUUGAACUUACCUUUGCUGAUAGCUUCUAAUUUUAAUGCAUAUGCUGCUAAUUGUAUAUGAUCUAUGACGAUUGGAUUUUACCUCAGCCACAAAGUUUGAUAUUGUGUAUGCUGAUUGCUUUGAUUGCUCUGUGCGUCAUGUAUUAUAUUUUUUCUUUGCCACAAGUUUGUUGUUCGUGUCUUUCUGGUGUUUCGUUAGGAACUUGCUAUAAUAUUGUUUUAAAUGUUUUCCUGUCUUAGCUAAUUGUCUUUCUUGUUCUGUCGUUUUGAGAACAGAGACUAGUAACCAAGUUGAUUAGAAAUCAAGCAAACCAACUUCAGAACAAUUCGCUGUACUUUAUGUUUGGAAAACAAGACUUAAAUGAGUAACUACUCAUAUCAUAUCAUUGCUUUCUCCGUGUUUUCUAUAAUAUCUGUUUGGUAUUACCUUAGACAGUAGAGUGUGGUCUCCAAGGAACUGUUGAGGCUACUGCAUUGUAUUUGAAAUUACAUGUUUUUAUUUGCUGUUGUUAACUGACCAUAUUAUCUCUGUCGAUGAUGUGUACUUGUCACUUUGAAUCGUUCCCAACCAACCAUAUUAUCUGGUCGAUUGAUUUGUUAGUUUUUGAUGACUACUUGUUACUUUUAAUAUGAAUAUGGCACAAAUCAUGCUAUUUGAUUUUCUAUUUGCAUAGGCAGCAUCAUAUGAAAGCUGAUGAAAUGUGGGAUACCAAAAUUAAGACCGAGUAAUAGUUGCAACUUUCUACUCUAAUUUCUGUAGAUUUUCUUUGUUUAUCAAUAUUUGGAUUGAAUUUCCAUGGCAUUAUCUUUUUCUUUUCUGGGUUGAAUUACCUCCGUUUUACAUUACAUGCCUUGGCAAUCUUGAGCUGAUUAUCAUCCUACAUCUCUGUCAUCAACUGUGAACCACAUACUUUCCCUUCACUUCACUCUCUAGUCUCUAUGUUGUGUUAAUACAAAUAUCUGAACAAAGCGUUGAAAAGUGUUCUACUACCACUUCCGGUGCGUUCAUGCAGCAUCCCUUUUGGGACUCCAUAGCAUUUGGGACUCCAUUUGUAUAAUAUAACUUGCUGAAGCAUUUAUUCAAUUGUGUGCAGGUCAGACAUUGGGACACAUGACUUUCAAGACUGUUUUUUGUAGCUGUGAAGUGUGAGAAUCUGAUGCAUGGGUUUGCAAUUUCAGUCACUCCAUCUACCGACUGAACUUUUGAAGUGCAUCUAUAUAGGAUAUGUAGUCCCAUCUAGUAUGGGUAUGUAAUCCUAACAUGACUCGCUUCUAAUUUGGAUCUUCCAUCAGACUUAUCAGUAGUUAUUAGUAUUCUCGUGUGUAACAAUAUUUCAACUGAAUAGAUUACCCUCUAUCUUAAUCGUUUACGCGAUCUCUUGUGGUUUUUCUUAACCGCAUCCAAAGCUUGAUGCUUACAAGCUUUGGAAUAUGGAGAAUGGCCUAAAUUUGCCUUUGCUACUUGUGAAUUCUUUCAUGCUUGUGUCUUUGCUAUUCCACAUUCUAUUGAAAGAUCCUUUAGACAUUGAGAACAGGUCAACUUGCGGAACAUGAUUCACCUUCGAUUAAUCAGGGAUGACACUAAGAAAUUGAUACUAGGAGAGAAAUUUGACAUAUGCUAAGUAUCAGAAGUCUCUCAAUAUACCCUGAAUUGAUUCCCUCAAAGAUUGAUGUGAAAUUGAAAGAAAGAACCAGUAUCAUACUCACUUCAAGCUAAUUUCUCCAAUCUAUGCUAGACUAGCACAUUCUUGCAGCACAAUUCCACACUCUAGCACACGACUUCACUGAUGAGAAACGCGCCAAGCAUAUCAUCAUUCCCCUAUAUACACACUUCAAUAUCCCAACAAGGCUGUUGUAUUGCCAAGUUGGGCUCUUUCAUUACGGACUUUGGUGGUGGUUCAACGGGGCCGUGACUGGAGUAAAGCCCAUAUGCAUUGCAAAUUGCUUUUCGGCUAUGAGACAUCUUACCCACAAGUUGAUUGGUUGGUGUUCAUUUCUGUUUACAUCCUUAAAUAUAUUAUGCAAAACUAUUAAGAUAAAGAUUUUAAACUAAAUAUUUCAAUACUAACCUCACAAUCAAGAAUUUUUGUGAAAAUAUAAUAUUAAACUAAAAUCAAUAAAAUCCAAACAACAACAAUUCUCUACAUCUUUACAUCAAAAAAAAAAAAACAAUUCUCUACAUCUUUUAAAUCAGAUUUGAGAAUAUACAAUGUGGUGGGAUUGUUCGUUCUUAUUUUUAUUUUAUUUAUGGCUUCAAAUGUAGUCUUUCAUAUAUAUAAUCGUAAAGAAGGAAGUCAAUAAAGAGAUCAAGGAGAAUAUAUAUAGGAUGUGGUUUGUGAAUAAAUAGAGGUAUGCGUUAAAUAUAUUGAUGAUAUAUUUUUAUAUUUUAUCAGAUUGAGGAAAAUAAAAUAAAGAAAAUAAAAACCAGAUUUUCUCUCAUAAUUUUGAGGGCAGAAUUAGAACGUUAAAGAUAAAAAAUAAGACGUGGGGUGAACUAAGCAUUUAGUGGGGUGGAAAUAGCCGCACCCUAAAAUAUUUGUAAAAAAUGUUCUAAAAGGUGCUAAAAACCAAGAAUAAGAAAACUCAUUAUUUGUAAAUUAAAGUGCAUAUCUUAAAUCAUUUUUGUCUAAGUAAAAGCAGGCAUGAAUCGAGAAUCUUAAACCACAAUAAUAUCAUACAACAAUUCUCAAAUAGAAAGAUCAUAGCCCCAUAAAUUACAAAAUUUGCUCACUCAUAUCCACCACUAAAGUAAUAUAUGUACAUUGCAUUUGUGUAGAGAACUACUAUAAAUUUAGGAAAAUUCAUACCUGUCCAAACUUUUUGACUGUUAUAUGUACACGUUUGUAAAACAUUGCCAUAUAAAGUGAACGUUGGACAUGCAUUAGAAAAACACAUUCUUCCACACUCUUGACACAAGUCGUCACUGACGAGAAACGCGCCAAGAAGCAUCAUCCCUCUAUAUAUAUGCCCAUCCAUGAACUUCAAUUCCAUAACCAAUCCAAAGCAUACACACCAAAGCUCCCAUUUCCCUCAUCUCCUAAUUCAGACUCUUCAUUUCAUAAGAAAACCCAUCAUCCAAAACCUCCAAAUCAACAGUCCAAACUAGAAGGAUGUCGAAAAUGUUUGCCCUUUCAAAGUUCGAGACUGCCUCAAUAUCAUGGUGGAAGAAGCAUGGAGAUGGAGACGACGACGGUGAUGAUGGAUACGACUAUGCCCCAGCGGCAUCAGCAUGCAUGGAAGGCGACAGCGAUGACGACGAUUCCGACUAUGAUUAUGCUCCGGCGGCCUCUACGGAAGGCGAUGACGACGACGAUGAUGGUGGUUAUGAUUAUGCUCCAGCUGCAUAAGAGCUGUGUAACUAGCAAUUCAGUCGAAAUUGCUUAUAUUAAUUCUUGAUAUGAGAUCGAGUGGCAUUUCUAUCACAGGGUUAUUUGCAAACCCCUAAGUAUUUUCUGACGGCCUUUGUAGCUCGUCAGAUGUUAUAGGGUAUUAUGUAUCAAUUUCUGAUCAGUAAACCUCUGAAUUAUGGUCCUCUACUACUCUAAUUUCGUUUUUUGUUUGAAACUCGAAGAUGCUAAUUAAGUAUUAACAUGAGCAAAUGUGGUUUGUGACACUGUUUCCUUUCAAUGAUCGAAGUCUGUAAUAGUUUCAAGCACACAAUAAGUCUCAUUUCCCUAUCUGCAAGUUUGCUUAAUUAGUGAAAUAGAAAUACUUUACAUGGAUGAUUUGAUCAUCACUUACUAAAUGAAACUACUUGACUAUCAAUUCGAGGAACCUGGAGAAACCAAAUUUGUUCAUAUGCUGUUGUUAUUUUCCAUCUUUCUUGUAAUGGCUCAGCUCACCCCGCACUUGCUUUAUCAUGAUAUUCUCUUCCUUUACCUUUUCAAUUAUAAUUCUAAUGUAUUUCUCUAAGUGGUCACUUUACUUAUCAUCUGCUAUAAACUAAAUUCAAACUUUCUGGGAUUGCUGACGAAGAGCUUAGUAUUCGACGAGCUACUAA
Molecule: long non-coding RNA, 28732 nt
Filed under: Fragaria vesca (wild strawberry)
Lineage: Eukaryota; Viridiplantae; Streptophyta; Magnoliopsida; Rosales; Rosaceae
Description: long non-coding RNA (FVES_LNC000065)
Source: RNAcentral